CUGCAGCCCCCUUGUGACGACCUCUGUCGGUAGGGAAAGAGGGUGUGUUAGGUUAAACGGAGAGACGACGAUUGUCAUCGCGUCGUUCUUCGUGCCGAUUUUAACGAGCCGACGACUUAGAGGAGGAUACUUGCACCUCUCUGCGGGUGCUUCUUCGCGUGUAUUUGCCAGUGAUGCUUCCGCGUUCUUUCAAUCACCUUGACGCCCUUAUUUUCUACAACGUUAAUAUCCAAGAACAAGAAAAGAAACGGAAACAGUGCACGAUGAUAUUUUGGAUCAGUUUUCCUUGCUCUUCCUAUGUGUGGAAUAGACACUGACGAUAUGGAUGCAGUAUGGCUUCAGUACUUUGGCAUGUCUCUGGGAAUAGUUAUGCUUCUCCUGCCUUUUUCUUGUUCUUACUGUUACUCUGUCCACACAAUACUACAGCCCGCGAGGUAAUUGAGGCUCCACUGCCACAACAAGACCACAUUCCAUCACUGCCACCACCACCGGGACGUCUCACCACUGCCAAAGCACCAAAGUGUGAUCAAAAAUUUAUAAGCACUCCUGAUGGGCCGCAAAAUGGAACUUUCUUUGCACCUGCAUUGAUAAAUCUAGAAGGAGAAUCUCGGCAAUGCGUUUACACAUUUUUAGCAGGACCACGUCAACGCGUGGAACUUAUUUUUACUACGUUUGGUCUUAGAGGCACACCGCCAGCUGGAUCUGCUGUUGGAGAAUUACCUGCUUGUAGCCAUGAAUAUAUGGAUAUAUAUUCGGAAAUUCGUUCAGAAAAUACUACCAAGCUAAUAGAAACACCAUUCGGAGGUCGUUUUUGUGGUCCUAUUCCACCUCGAAAGCGUGUUUCUCUUUAUCAAGGCAUUGCCCUCAGUUUCUAUACUGAUAAAAAUAUAACAUUACCAACAUUAUUCAGCGGGGAAUACACUUUUAUUAAUGCAUCUGAGUUUGAAGUUGGAACACCAGUACCGAGUGCACCGUGUUCUUUCACGGUAAAAUCUGUCGUUAAACGUACUGGAAAUAUAUUGUCUCCCACUUAUCCAGGAACUUAUCCAAAAGAUCUUACGUGCAGUUAUCAAUUUAUUGGAGAACCAAGUCAAAGAAUACGCCUGGAGUUUCGAGAUUUUGAUUUAUUUUUUGGCGGGCCACAUUGUCCUUUGGAUUAUGUAAAAGUAUACGAUGGGGUUGACAAUUCAUCCGCUGUUAUUGGAACGUAUUGUGGGCAACAACGAAAUUUGGUAUUAUAUUCAUCCGAAUCCAGCCUAUUUGUAUUGUUUUCUACUCUUCAGCGUACAGCGAAUACGCAAAAUCGUGGUUUUAAAGGAAUUUUCGAAUUUUCAGAAAGUUUUGUUAAAUUAGACUUCAUAACCAGUUAUAAUGGGGAGCAUAUAAGAGGCUCGGAAUGCGAUCAAAAGAUUUUAAGUAAAAAGAAGUCUUUUGGAUUUGUAGUUAGUCCCAAUUUUCCAUUUCCUUAUAUGCCAAAAGUAGUAUGUCGUUAUUUUGUUUAUGGAAUGCAAGAUUCGCAACAUCUUGAACGCGUUCGUUUGGAUUUUAUGGUAUUUGAAAUUCCAACGAGCGGUACUAAAGUAGAGUCAGCAUGUACCGAUGGUUAUUUAAAAUUAUAUUUAAAAGGUCAAGAAGCGACAGAUUCUUAUGAUAAAUUUGAUUAUGAAUUAUGCGGUGCAAAAAGUAAUCCAGCUUAUGUAGUUAGUGAUGGGCCGAGACUUGUUAUGGUAUUUAGCAGCGGAGAAUUACUAGGAAAAGGUUUUAAAGCACGGUAUAUCUUUGAGACAGAAUAUAAAAUACCUGGAACAGCCGAACCAGAUGGUACCUGUACAUUUACAUACAGAAGUUCCUCUCGAAAAAAGGGAGAUUUUAAUUCUCCCCGAUAUCCUAGUAAUUAUCCAAGUGAUACAAAUUGUACUUAUCUCUUUUUUUCAACGCCAAAUGAACAAGUGACAUUGAUCUUUGACCAUUUUAAAGUUAGAACCAAAACUCUGAAUGUAACGUCCGGUCACUAUGGGCACUAUUUAUGUCAAGAUGACUGGUUAGAAAUUUAUAUUAUGUAUCGCGAUCAAACUGAAAAAUUAAUAGGCAGGUAUUGUGGUAUGACUGCCCCAGGACCAGUAGAAUCGACGCUUGGUGCUCUCGGUUUAAAAGUAAUUUUACAUUCAGAUUCUGAACUUGUUUAUAGCGGAUUUAAAGCACGUUAUACUUUUGAGGUGGCAAAACCAAUUUUUGGAGAUUGCGGAUCAAAUAUUAGCAGUCUAAAUUAUGGAGUAAUAACUAGUCCUAACUUUCCAAAUAAAUACGAUGGCCCGUCAAAAAAUUUUGCUAGUAAAACAUGUAAUUGGUUCAUAAGAGUACGACCUAAUCAACAAAUAUUAUUGGAUUUUGAUAAAUUUUCUGUAGAAGGUGAUCAAAGUGCACGAGGUUGUCCUGCUGCGGUAUUACGUAUGUGGUAUUCUAGUUCGUCCACGCCGCUUGAGCUUUGUGGUGUUAAAACUUCUGAUACCAAGUGGACCUAUUUAUCGGAAGAUAAUAAUAUGCGUCUUAGUUUCAUAUCAGCAGAUAAAGCGGUUGGACAACACGGUUUCAGAGCAGUAUGGACAGAGAUAAAUAAAAAUACUGAUUGUCAAAAUCAAUUUCUUUGCACCAGAAAUAAAUAUUGUAUUGCAGAAUCGUUAAAAUGUAAUGAUAUCAAAAAUUGUGGUCCAGACGAUUCGUCCGAUGAAGAGAACUGUGCAGCAUCAGCCCCAUUGUCACCAGCACUGGCUGGAGUCUCUGCCAUGCUUCUUCUCUCUCUGUGCUUUAUGUUCGUGGCCAUCUGAGCCCCUCAUGAAGCUUCCGACGAUCCGGCAUGUUAUGAUCUCCCUUAUCACGUGCUGCUAUGGUACCAGCAGAUAGUUAUGUCAUCCCAGCAGUAUCUGCUGCAGCUUCUGUUUUAGUUGUUCUGUUUAUAUGCCUACUGUGUAAUAAACUUAAAAGACCUGUUCAAGAA
This 2995-nucleotide unclassified non-coding RNA is filed under the name Polistes fuscatus (common paper wasp). RNAcentral's name for it is "dorsal-ventral patterning tolloid-like protein 1, transcript variant X1". Lineage: Eukaryota; Metazoa; Arthropoda; Insecta; Hymenoptera; Vespidae. The record is from RNAcentral.